UCAAUUGUUUUUUAAAGUGCCUAAAUCCCUAAUUCACAUUCCUUAGCUACGAUAACUUCCUUUAGCGAGUAAACUUUUUCUUGCGUCCAAACUAAGUUAAUCUUUUUUUUCUUGGCUAUGACAAUAGCAUCUAUCUCCGUUCACAAUACUUUCAUUAUGUGACAACAAUUGAUGGAAGUGUUUCUUAUUACAUAUUAGUUGCGUCGAGUUUGCAUUUGCGUUUUCAUAUGCUGGAAGCAAAGCAUUGUCUAUAUUAAUUGAUUUAUUUGUGAAUGUGCUAGAGGUAAUUUACUACUGCACACUAUGUUUAUUUCCUAUUCAUUGAAUUGUAUCUAAUUAUUCAUUCCUAUGCUAUUUUUUUUAAGAGGUUCUUAAAUUGUCUUCAAAUGAUUCCAAAUCCAAAGAAAUAGUGACAUAUCCUUCUCAUGUUAGUGGAAUCAUAAAGCCUACAAACUAUAGGUGCUAAUUAACUAAUUUGAAUCAAAUUUCAAAAGAUGAACAUGUAGUAUCUUGCUAACGUCUAUAGGUGCAGGUGGUUCAAACAAAAAAUGAAAAACCAAUUUCUCUUGUAGGUAAGAAAAUUAGUUAUUAUAUAAGAAAACCAAUUUCAGAUUUCUUUUGAGGUUUUAAGUUUUUUUAGCCUUAACUUUUGAUCACAUAAUUUUAGUGUCUUUUGAUACUUAGACUUUUAUUUAAGAACUAGCGAUCCGAAGAAUAAUAAUGAAAAUAGUAUUAAAAUCAUUAAUAUUUCCUCAUGC
RNAcentral lists this long non-coding RNA (758 nucleotides) under Cicer arietinum (chickpea). RNAcentral's name for it is "long non-coding RNA (CARI_LNC001736)". Lineage: Eukaryota; Viridiplantae; Streptophyta; Magnoliopsida; Fabales; Fabaceae. The record is from RNAcentral.